This 1536-nucleotide ribosomal RNA is filed under the name mine drainage metagenome. RNAcentral's name for it is "bacterial LSU rRNA". It matches the Rfam family "Bacterial large subunit ribosomal RNA", at positions 1271 to 2805 of the family's 2925-position model. The record is from RNAcentral.
UGCUGGAGGUAUCGGAAGUGCGAAUGCUGACAUGAGUAGCGUUAAAGGGGGUGAAAAGCCCCCUCGCCGAAAGCGCAAGGUUUCCUACGCAACGUUCAUCGGCGUAGGGUGAGUCGGCCCCUAAGGCGAGGCAGAAAUGCGUAGCUGAUGGGAAACAGGUUAAUAUUCCUGUACCACAGUCGAGUGCGAUGUGGGGACGGAGAAAGUUAGGUCAGCCGGGUGUUGGAUGUCCCGGUUCAAGCAUGUAGGCGUGCCCCUUAGGCAAAUCCGGGGGGCUGAGCUGAGGUGUGACGACGAGGCGGCUUGCCGCUGAAGUGAUUGAUACUCUGCUUCCAAGAAAAGCCACUAAGCUUCAGCUCGACGUGACCGUACCGCAAACCGACACUGGUGCGCGAGAUGAGUAUUCUAAGGCGCUUGAGAGAACUCGGGAGAAGGAACUCGGCAAAUUUGUACCGUAACUUCGGGAUAAGGUACGCCCCUGGUAUGUGAAGCCGUACAGGCCGAGCAGAAGGGGGCCGCAGUGAAAAGGUGGCUGCGACUGUUUAUUAAAAACACAGCACUCUGCAAACACGAAAGUGGACGUAUAGGGUGUGACGCCUGCCCGGUGCCGGAAGGUUAAGUGAUGGGGUGCAAGCUCUUGAUCGAAGCCCCGGUAAACGGCGGCCGUAACUAUAACGGUCCUAAGGUAGCGAAAUUCCUUGUCGGGUAAGUUCCGACCUGCACGAAUGGCGUAACGAUGGCCACACUGUCUCCUCCCGAGACUCAGCGAAGUUGAAAUGUUUGUGAUGAUGCAAUCUCCCCGCGGAAAGACGGAAAGACCCCAUGAACCUUUACUGUAGCUUUGCAUUGGACUUUGAACAGAUCUGUGUAGGAUAGGUGGGAGGCUUUGAAACCGGGAUGCUAGUUCCGGUGGAGCCAACCUUGAAAUACCACCCUGGUGUGUUUGAGGUUCUAACCUUGGCCCUUGAAUCAGGGUCGGGGACAGUGCAUGGUGGGCAGUUUGACUGGGGCGGUCUCCUCCCAAAGCGUAACGGAGGAGUUCGAAGGUACGCUAGGUACGGUCGGAAAUCGUGCUGAUAGUGCAAUGGCAUAAGCGUGCUUAACUGCGAGACCGACAAGUCGAGCAGGUGCGAAAGCAGGACAUAGUGAUCCGGUGGUUCUGUAUGGAAGGGCCAUCGCUCAACGGAUAAAAGGUACUCUGGGGAUAACAGGCUGAUACCGCCCAAGAGUUCAUAUCGACGGCGGUGUUUGGCACCUCGAUGUCGGCUCAUCUCAUCCUGGGGCUGUAGCCGGUCCCAAGGGUAUGGCUGUUCGCCAUUUAAAGAGGUACGUGAGCUGGGUUUAAAACGUCGUGAGACAGUUUUGUCCCUAUCUUCCGUGGGCGCUGGAAGCUUGAGAGGGCCUGCUCCUAGUACGAGAGGACCGGAGUGGACGCACCCCUGGUGUACCGGUUGUCACGCCAGUGGCAUCGCCGGGUAGCUAUGUGCGGAAGAGAUAACCGCUGAAAGCAUCUAAGCGGGAAACUCGCCUCAAGAU